Molecule: ribosomal RNA, 253 nt
Filed under: uncultured prokaryote
Description: partial 16S ribosomal RNA
Rfam family: Bacterial small subunit ribosomal RNA
Source: RNAcentral
ACGAAGGGUGCAAGCGUUACUCGGAAUUACUGGGCGUAAAGCGUGCGUAGGUGGUUGUUUAAGUCUGUCGUGAAAGCCCUGGGCUCAACCUGGGAAUUGCGAUGGAUACUGGGCGACUAGAGUGUGGUAGAGGGUGGCGGAAUUCCCGGUGUAGCAGUGAAAUACGUAGAUAUUAGGAGGAACACCGGUGGCGAAGGCGGCUAUCUGGACGACAACUGACGCUGAGGCGCGAAAGCGUGGGGAUCAAACAGGA